GCUCUCACUUUCCAGAUUUUUGGUUGGUAACGAGGGAAAAAUGGUGAUGAAAAUGAUGAAAAGCUGGGGAUUGAGUGGGGUGCGUUAUGCUGUGCCUUUCACUGUAACCUCCAAAGGAUCUGUACCAUUUCUUCUGCGUGGGUAAUCGUUCUGUCUAUAAUUACAUCAAAGUUUUCUCCCUUUUUUUUUUCCCUUCAAAAAUAAAAAAUUAGUGUUUUUGGUUGGUGCUGGAAAUUGGUUUGAGUUAUCAAGGUGGUUCAGACUCAUCAAUGAAAAAUAUGAAAGAGUUUGAUAUGUAUAAAAGAAUAUUGCAGCUGUCAUUCUUUCUUCCUUUGGUGAAAUUACACACUGUUUUUGUUCCUUUACAUUGAAUGUUUUCUUUCCCUAUAGUUUUAAUUCAAUAAAACAUUUUGGUAAUAAUAGAUAGCUGUCUGCGUUUGCAUAUUUGGUGGUUUUUGUUAGGAAAUUGAGGUAUAAAUUUUACAAUUGCAGCUAAAGUGGAAAUGAGAAAAUGAAAAGUUUGUUCGUAAAAUAUUCAAAUAAAAUACAUAUAAAAUAAUUGACAAAAGAAUAAAAUAAUUUCUGUCUAAAAUAAAGAGAGCACAAUUGACAAUACACUCUCUCUUAUAAUAGGAGAAAAAUACAUACUCUCUCUAAUAAAAGAAAGACAUAAAUAUUUAGGAGAAAUUCUUUUUGAAUUUUCUCUCUAAUACUCUCCUUCUUUCUCUUUGUUUCUAUGUGUAUUUCUCACACUAAAGAUGGAUAUCACUCUUUACAAGGAAGAGAAAGACAUAUAUAUAGAGGCAUAUGGCGGUAGAGAGAGGCAGUAGAGGUUGUAAAAUUCAAAUUGAACUCCUUUGCUAGCUGUAGCCGUGCCACCUAUAUGUGCAAGUUGUCCACAAAGCUAGAAAUCUCUACAUUCUUCUUCCACCUCUUUUAACUAAGUUAAAAUCUUAAUUAAGAAGCAAUCUUUAACCUCCUUUGACUAAGUCACCAUCUUAAUUAAUAAGCAAUAGCCAAAAGUGACUUUAUGUGCCGCCACAUAUCUUCAUCAGUGGUUUUAGAUCAAUUGCGAUUGAUGGUGACCGAUUGAUCACAUAACAGGUGGUCUUAACUGCUUUUGCCCAAGAUGACUUGGCCAUUCGUACAAUGCUCAACAUCGCUUUUAUCCGUUCCAAUAAGGUUCUGUUCAUCUGCUCUGCUACUCUAUUUAGUUGUGGAGUGUAUGCCAUUGUAAACUACCUUUUGAUACUUUCUUAUUGACAGAAGCUAUCAAAUUCUUCACCAGUAUAUUCUUCUCCAAUAUGAACCUAUCUCAAGAAGAUCUGUGUUCAUGGGAGAUGAUCAUGCCUUGGAGAUCGCUGGUAUUGGUACCGUCAAAUUGAAGAUGUAUGAUGGUACGGUUCGCACCAUUCAGAAGGUAAGGCAUGUGAAAGGCCUAAAGAAAAAUCUAUUGUGUAAAAGAGCUCGGCUUAUAGGCAUCUUCUAUAAUGGCGACAAAGUACGAAAUAAAAAAAUCAAUGAAAAAAAGACUACAAAAGAAAUAUGGGACACUCCUGAAGAAAAUCUAUUGUCUUUGGGACAAUUAGAUAAUAGUAGUGCAAAACUCAUAUUCAAGAUGAGAUCAUGAAAAUAAUUAAAGUCGCACUUGUGGUGAUGAAAGCAGAAAAGAUAGCUGUCAAUCUGUACAUGCUUAAAGGAGAAACACAACAAGAAGGAGAAGCAUCUACAACAUUAGCAAGCUCUCCAAAAGAAUCAACGCUGAUGUGGCAUUGUAAGCUUGGCCACAUGUCGGAAUGAGAUUUGAAGAUUCUUGCUGAACAAAAGCUUCUUCCAAGGCUCAAAAAGGUUUCAUUACCAUUUUGUGAGCAUUGUGUUAUUAGUAAGCAGCAUAGAUUAAAGUUUAGCAGCUCAAAUGCUAAAAACAAAGCUAUCGUAGAGUUGAUCUACUUCGAUGUUUGGCAAGCAUCAGUUUUGUUCCCACGAGGUGCAAGAUACUUUAUAUAUUUUAAAUGGUUACUCUAGGAGAUGUUGGGUGUAUCCAAUCAAAAGGAAAACUGAUAUAUUUCCAGUUUUCAAAAUAUUCAAAGCGCGGGUGGAAUUUGAAUCUGAAAAGAAGAUCAAGUGUUUAAGAGAUAGAUAAUGGACAAGAAUAUACUAGUGAAGAAUUUGAUAGCUUCUAUCAAUAGGAAGAUAUCAAGAGGUAGUUUAUAAUGGCGUACACUCCACAACAAAAUGAAGUAGUAGAGCGGAUGAACAGAACCUUGUUGGAACAGAUAAGAGAGAUAUUUAGAACUAUAGGAAUGGUCAAGUCAUUUUGGGCAGAAGCAGUUAAGACUGCCUGUUGUGUGAUCAAUCGGUCACCAUCAACCGUAAUUGAUCUAAAAACGCCGAUGGUGAUAUGUGGCGGCACGUAAAGCCACCUUUGGCUAUUGCUUAUUAAUUAAGAUGGUGACUUAGUCAAAGGAGGUGAAAGAUUACUUCUUAAUUAAGAUUUUGACUUAGUCAAAGAAGGUGGACGAAGAAUGUAGAGAUUUCUAGCUUUGUGGACAACCUGCACAUGUAGGUGGCACGGCUACAGCUAGCAAAGUAGUUCCUUGAUGAUGAUAAGUGGAACGAGAUAGCAAUGACCAAGUAGAGCGUUAUCAUGCUAGAUUGGUUGUGAAAGGAUUUGCUCAUAAAGAAGGUAUUGAUUUCAAUGAGAUAUUUUCUCCUGUUGUUCAACUUAAACAGUUCGUGUGGUCCUGGCAAUGUGUGCUACAUUUGACUUAUAUUUAGAGCAGUUGUAUGUCAAAACUGCAUUUUUUCAUGGAAAACUUGAAGAAGAGAUUUAUAUGCUCCAACCAGAAGGUUUUGAAGAAAAAGGAAAAGAGAACUUGGUUUGCAGGUUGAACAAAUCUCUAUAUGGUCUCAAACAAGCGCCGAGAUGUUGGCCCCAACAAAGAUCGCAUUAAAGAUUUGAAGGCAGAAUUGGCUAGGGAGUUUGAAAUGAAAGACUUGGGACCGACAAACAAGAUUCUAGGGAUGCAAAUCAACCAAGACAGAAUAAUAAGAAGUUAUGGCUUUCUUAGAAAAAUUACGUGAAGAAAAUUUUGCAGCGUUUCAACAUGCAAAAUUGUAAGCCAAUUCUUAUCCCUCUUUGUAUUAAUUUCAAGUUAUCCUCAAGUAUGAAUCCUAGCAAUGAGAAAGAGAGGAUGGAAAUGUCUCGAGUAUCGUAUAGGUAGUUUAAUGUUCGCCAUGGUAUUCACAAGACCAGACAUUACACAAGCAGUAGGAGCAGUUAGUCGGUACAUGGCGAAUCCUGGUAGAGAGCAUUGGAAUGCUAUGAGGAGGAUCAGACUUUAGAUCUUCCCUUGGGCUAGCAGAAACAUGAGCAGCAUGGGAAUAAAAUGGCAAGUAGAAAAGAUAGAAGGGUUAUAGCAAAAGUGACUUUAAGUGGGAGAUAUAUGGCGGUUCCACUUUUGCUUCUUAAUGAAGUAUUGGACCGAUCAAAGGAGGUGGAAAGGUAGCAAGAUAGAGGACAAAUUCAAUUUGAACUCUACUACCUUAAAAGAAUUCAACUUCAAGUUGAAUUCCAUCAAAGGAGAAAUUCAAUUUCAAGUUAAACUCCACUUAAGGAGAAUUCAAUUUCUAUUUGAAUUCCUCUACCCAUAUGCAUCUAUAAAUAUGCACAUCCCCUUAAUUUGAAAAUCAUCCCAUUUUGAAGAAGGGCUCAAUUCAUUCUUAUGUAGAAGCCAAAUCCAUUCUUAGUGUGAGAAACAUGGAAACAAAGAGAGAGAAGGAGAAUAUUAGAGAGAGAGAGAGUUAGAAAUGGUUUUUCCUAAAUAUUUGUGUCUUUCCUUUAUAUUACAUUUCUUGGCAUGAGAAGCAAAGAGAGAGUAGGAGAAUAUUAGAGAGAUAAUGAAGAAAAGGCUUCUCCUAAAUAUUCAUGUCUUUCGUUUGUGAGAAACAGAUAGAGAGAAGGAGAGUAUUAGAGAGAGAAAAAGAGUCUUUCCUAAAUACUUGUGUCUUUCCUCUGUAGAGAGAGUGUGUUUUCUUCUAUUAUAAGAGAGAGGGCUGAUAUAGGUAUAUCAUAAUUUUCAUCAAUGACUUUUGAGACUAAAAUCAACCUUCUCAAGCUUGAACACUCUGCAGUUAGUAUUCAGAGAAAGAAGUAGCCAUUAGUUAUGUUGAUGGAGUGGUGAUUCAGAAGCUUUAGAUCCAUAAGAGAGUGAAAAAAACUUCUAGAAGAUGCAAGAUCAGACCUGAGACAUAUUAAAACUUGAGCAAGGAAGGGGAGGGGGAUGUGUGGACCAAAAUACUUCUAGAAGAUGGAAGUCGUACACCUGACAACACCAUGGCAGAUUUUGAUCCAUCUUAUGUGAAACAACAAGAUGAUUCUCCAAUUCAUUGAUGUAAUUUGAUUGUAUGGCAGAUAUUAUUAGUAAUAAAGGAUCAGAUUUUUUGGGUUUGGGAAGAAGAGACGACCGGGAUUGGCAUCUCUUCUUCUCUCUGUUGUGGCGACUACCGACGAGCAACUCCUCCAGUCACCCGCCAUCUCUUCGACGAUCGACGGUUAGGUGGUUGACUGAAACCCUAGCUCUAUCACCUUUACACUCUGCGGUGGGCCAGUGGCUAUGAAACCAUCAACAACCUUGAUUACCAUCAUCUAGUCAUCAACCAUCAUGUUAUUUCUUAGAAAUUUGACUAUUCCAGUUGACGGAUUCAAGAGGUGAAGGUGAGGUAGCUUCGUGGCUCGUGGGAGGCUGUGUCGUGCUCGUGUGUGGCACUGGCUCUGUGCUUAAAGCUUAAGGUAAGGUGUUCUGUUCUCUCAAACUCUCAAUGGUUGUGGAUGGAUAGAUUGUAGUUGGAGUUGAGUUGACUUUCAUAAUUUAGACUCUCUGUGAUUGUGACUCUGAAUUUGACUCAAAAUUUAGAAAUUAAUUGUUUUUGUGAAAUGUUGAAUUGGUUAUAAAAUAAUUUUAUUACGACAGUUCAUAUGGUUUUAGUGUGAAAUUUCAUAUGGAUUUGAAAUGCUAAAUUGUAUUUGUGAAUUGUCUUUGAAACUCUAUUUUUAUGAAAUUUUGAAUUCAAAUUCGUGAGAUUGCUUGCAUUUAGAGUCUUUGUAACUCCAAAAUUUCUAAAAUUUCAAUUUUAAGAAGGUUAGCUUACAUUUCAGAGUCUUUGUGACUUUGAAUUCCUAAAAUUGCAAUUUUCAACAGGUUAGCUUACAUUUCAAAGUCUUUGUGACUUUGAAAUUUGAAGUUGUUGUUUAAUUUGUAAUGUUUGUGGAAUUGUUGAAUACUGUGCAAUUUUUAAAUAUUGUGGAAUAUUAUGGAAUUGAAACUGUUUAAACAAGGUUUUUGCAUGUUUGUAGUUGGAGUUGUAUAAUUUUAAGUAUGUUAGUUUACAUUUCAGAGUCUUUGUGACUUUGAAGUUUGAAAUUGCUAUUUAAUUUGUAAUGUUUGUGGAAUUGUUGAAUAUUGUGCAAUUUCUUAAUAUUGUGGAAUAUUAUGGAGUUGAAGUUGAAAUUGAAACUGUUUAAACAAGGUUUUGCAUGUUUGUUGUUGGAGUUGUGCAAUUUUAAACAUGUUAGCUUACAUUUCAGAGUUUUUGUGACUCUGAAAUUUAAAAUUGCUGUUGAAUAUGUAAUGUUUGUGGAAUUGUUGAAUAUUGUGGAAUGGAAUUGAAGUUGAAAUUGGGACUGUUUAAACAAUGUUUUUGCAUGCUAGUAGUUCAAAUUGUGCAAUUUUUUUUAGAGAACCAGGCAGUUAGUUAUGUUUCAAUAUUAUAUCAUACAGCAGCUGAUUGGUUUUAAUUGUUAAGCAUUAUUGAGUACUAAGAGUAGCAUUAUUGAGUACUAGGAGUCUGAGUGAUAGCAAUUUUUUCAAAGCUUUAAAAUCGUCUUUCUUUUAUUUUAGUUCAUUGCAUUGUAACCAGUACAUGUCUUGCCUUGAAGUGUUGUGUAAUUGCUGUCUUAUUUUUGUUUGUUUCCUCUUAUGUAAGCAGUGUCUUAUAUAUGCUUGAUAUGGACCCAGAUGCCCAAUCAUCAGUUAAUGCACUUUCUUCUCAAACCCCAAUAGGCCAAAGUCCAUCACCACCAGGUCCACCACCACUGUCAAAACUUACAUCGUCUGAUGCCAAAUCGACAUUACCUCCAUGACCUUCAUUAGGGAAAAAAAAAAAAAAAAAACCUUCUAGGCUAGCAAGUGAUGUAUGGGAUCACUUUGUCAAAAUAGAAGAUAGUGAUCUUGAUAACCCUAGAUGUGAAUGCAUAUAUUGUCAUAAGGAUUAUGCAUGUGGUUCUAAGAAGUGUGGAACUAAUACCCUAAGGAACCAUUUGAAGCAAUGUCUAAAAAAUCCUUAUAAAGUAGAUGAAAAGAAGUAAAAGACCUUAACUUUUGAUAGGAAGUCCGACGGUAAUGGUAGCAGUUUGGUAGCUACAGUUUUCAGCAAAGAGGCAUGUAGGAUGGCAUGUGCCAAAAUGAUAAUAUUGGAUGAGUUGCCUUUUAGUUUUGUACAAGACCGUGGGUUUAGACACUUUUGUAGUAUUGCAUGUCCUAAGUUUGAUCCUCUAUCUAGAAGAACCAUCAUGAGGGACAUUUAUCAAUUGUACUUGGAUGAGAAGUUGGCUUUAAGAUCAAUGUUUGUUGCAAAGAAAUAAAGAGUUAGCCUUACAACUGAUACAUGGACUUCUAUUCAAAAUGUUUGUUAUAUGUCAUUGAUUGCUCAUUAUAUUGAUGAUGAGUGGAUGUUACAUAAAAGAAUUUUAAGUUUUUGUGUGGCUCCUAAUCAUAAAGGAGAGGCAAUUGGAAAGCUAAUUGAGGUUUGUUUGCAUGAUUGGGGUAUUGAGAAAGUGUUCAUAAUAACCCUUGAUAAUGCAAGUGCAAACAAUAAUGUAAGUGCUUAUCUUAAGAGGAAAAUGGUACAUUGGAAAAGUUGUGUAUUGGAUGCUAAUUUUUUGCAUAUUCGAUGUAGUGCACACAUUGUCAAUUUGAUUGUGUGUGAGGGUUUGAAAGAAUUAGAUGACUCAAUUGCUAGCAUUCGUAAUGCUGUCAGAUAUGUUAGAUCCUUUCCUUCUAGAUUGCAAAAAUUUAAAGAGUGUAUAAGUUAAGAGAAAAUUGAUAGCAAAGCUUUAGUAUGUUUGGAUGUUCCAACAAGAUGAAACUCCACAUAUUUAAUGUUAGAGUCGGUUUUGAAAUUUCAAAAAGCCUUUGAGAGAAUGGAAGAGGAAGAUGGACAUUAUGCUUCCUAUUUUGGAGAGGAUGAUAGUGGUAGAAAGAAGGUUGAACCUCCUUUUGUUUGGCAUUGGGAUGAUACCAAAGUUUUUGUCCAAUUUCUUAAGGGCUUUUAUGAUGUGACUCUUCAAUUUAGCGCCUCUCUGCAUGUUACCUCCAAUAUUUAUUUCCAUCAGAUUUCUUCCAUACAAAAACAAUUGGAUGACUUGUAUGUUAGUGAGGAUGACCGGUUGUGUGUUAUGGCAAGGAAAAUGAGAAAAAAUAUAAUAAAUAUUGGGGUUCCAUGGGAAAUGUCAAUAAAUUGCUUCUAAUUGCAGCAGUGCUUGAUCCAAGAUAUAAGUUGGAUUAUGUGUCAUUUAGCUAUAGGAUGCUUUAUGAUAAUGAUGAAAGUAUGGUUACUGAAUUGACAAAUAGUUUGAAAAAGGCUUUAAUGAGGCUGUAUAAUUGGUAUAAUGAAAGAGAAAUGGGUUCAGAUACUAGUUGCUAAUCUUCCAUUGGUGUUGAGUCUUGUGGAACUAGUUUGGAUUGUAAUAGCAGUGGAUUAGAACAGGCCAACUAUGCUGACCGGGUUUGGAUUGCUUAUUUGAAAAAGAGAGAACAAAGCCAAUAUAAGGAGGUAAAAUAUGAUGUGGAUAUGUAUCUGGCCGACCCUUGUGAAUCUGGUUUAAAUAAGGAUUUUGAUAUUUUAAAUUGGUGGAGGGUCAAUGGAGAGAAAUACCCUGUGUUAGAGAAGGUUGCAAAGGAUGUAUACACCAUUCAAGUCUCCACUGUGGUUUCUAAGAGUGCAUUUAGCACUGUAAGCAGGAUACUUGAUCCUUUUAGGAGCUCUUUGACUGCUAAAAUGGUGGAGGCUUUGAUAUGUUGUCAAAAUUGGCUUAAUGCUUCUCCAAGUUUGAACAGAUUCUUUUUAGAAGAAAUGGAGUAUUAUGAAAGCCUAGAUGCAGACCUAUGCCAAAGCCAACCAGUGGCAACAACUCCAGACAGCAGCACCAAAAAGGAUCGAUUAUGCAUUGUGGAAUGAAUGGACUUGAAACUUGAUAGCAGCACCAAAGCUUUGUAGCAGUGGCAGUGGAGACUUUGGCAAUGACAAUAGAAGAGUGGCUUUGGAUUUUUAGAGGAUUUGGCAGUAGCAGUAGGAGAAGAGCAGUGGCUGUUGGAAUGGCAAUGGCAGUGGCACUUUGGAAUUAUAAUUUGUUAUUUUGAUAUUUGUGUUUUGUGUCUGCAUUUCUCAUUCUCAAUUUUGGCCGUGGCAUUGGUAGUGGCACUGCAUUUCUCAAUCUUCAAUUUUUCCUUUCAUAUAUGUUUAAUUCUUGAUCAAUUUAUAUUUGUAUUAUUAAACAUUAGUAUUUUCAAUUUGUAUAUGUGUUGAAACUUGUAAGCUUCUAAUAUUUAGUUAAUUACUUAUAUUUGAUGUAGUAGCAAAUGUAAAAACAAUAUAGAAAUGCAAUUUUGUAUGUUUGUUUAAGAACUAUAA
Ziziphus jujuba (common jujube) is the source of this 8691-nucleotide RNA transcript. It is a transcript of the gene named pentatricopeptide repeat-containing protein At2g45350, chloroplastic-like, with no coding region annotated. The record is from RefSeq and is a predicted model, not a curated record. NCBI's taxonomy places the organism in Eukaryota, Viridiplantae, Streptophyta, Magnoliopsida, Rosales, Rhamnaceae. The transcript is spliced from 9 exons.